RNAcentral lists this ribosomal RNA (294 nucleotides) under uncultured bacterium. RNAcentral describes it as "partial 16S ribosomal RNA". The record is from RNAcentral.
GGACUACCCGGGUAUCUAAUCCCGUUCGCUACCCACGCUUUCGUGUUUGAGCGUCAGGAAUGGGCCAGUGCACUGCUUUCGCAUUUGGUGUUCCCCAUGAUAUCAACGGAUUUCACCCCUACACCAUGAGUUCCGUGCACCUCUCCCACCCUCUAAGUUCUGCCGUUUCCCUCGCAUUACCCGGGUUAAGCCCGAGUGCUUUUACGAGAGACUAACAAAACCGCCUGCACACCCUUUACGCCCAGUGAUUCCGGGUAACGCUUGAGGCCUCUGUAUUACCGCGGCGGCUGGCAC